UAUCAAUAAAUCAACAUUUUAUUUUCUUGCAUCCUUAGGUCCAGCAUUGGAUAGUGAUUUAGAAAGAUCUGUCAUCUCUCCUAUUGAAGUAAUAUGUGAUCAUUAUUUGCAACUCUUAAAAUAAUUUUUAUGAUUUUUUUCUAGCCUCCAUCCAUGUCUAUUGUUUAGCAUGCAAUAGACACUUUCUCUUUUCUUCUUGAGGAUAUGAGUUAUAGACUUUUUUUGUCUUUUGUUUCUUUCUUGCAUUCUCUCAGUAUCUUCUGAUUUUUUUUGUUUCUUAUUUAUUUGUUUUAUUCUUUGUUUUUCCUGUUGGAGGCUUCACUACUGGUGGCAGUCAGAUAAGUUUCAACUGCUAAAGAAUUCUCAGAGUACUGGUAACUAUAAUGCUUAGGAAUCUACGGGUUAUUGCAAGAAAAGAAUGCAAAAUAGCAGCAGCAUUGAAAUAAAAGAAACGCAUCUCAACCAAAGAUCUGCCUCACAGCAUAGAUCAGGAGAAGCCAAGAACUAGCUCUUACUGUCCUCCAUCUGCAGGACCACAGCGGAGGCACUGUUUCCUCUCAAAUCAGAACCACCAAGAUAGGCACAGAACACCCUGAAACCAGGGAACCUAAUGUAGGCACAUUCUUGUGAAGUAACCAGCCCCAGUGGUAGAGCCCUCUGGAAGUCUCACUUAGACCAGGUGUAAACCAUCAUCUCACUGUUAUCAAUAAACGAUGCUCACAAGCUGGUACAAACUACCAGAAACUGCCCUUUGGCCCCUCGGUUGAAAAGCAACACUAUUAAUCAGUACAACUCACGCCUUGACUAGGAGUCAAUACUGUCUUGGCACAUCUCUCACUUCAGCAAAACAGCUCAGACCAAUUCCAGGCACGCUGGGAUCAACCCUCAGACCAUAGCUUUUCUUAAAUAAAACUGUGCAACGAAAACACUGACUGAAACUCUGGAUACACGUGCAUGGCUUACCUCUGACUCUUGGUGAACAAGCAUUUUCAUCGGGGAACACCAAACGGAAAUUUUGGAAACUUCAUUAUCCGAGGCAACUUAGACUCUCUAGGAAAGGUUAUGAUCCGCGAGAAGCCGGAAGUCACAUAACUACCCAUCGGGAAACCUCUCGCGGGACAGCAAGGCCUGCCGCGAGACGUCGUCGGCCGCCGCUCUGCGCUCGUCCUGGCGGAAACCUGGCCGCGGGAACUCACAGCCCUGUCGUUUUCGUGCGCUUUCCGUCCUACAUCUGGAAUGGAGUGACUGCUGUGGCAAUUCCUGGAGAAGAUUUUUUAAUUGUUGCUUUUGACAGUUUGGUGAAGGAUUUUCAAUUCACAUCUGGCCCCAAAUGUUAUAAAUUAACAGACAAAACAAACAUUGGAUGCGGCGGUUUUCAUGGAGCCUGAGGCUGACAAGGGUUAUUGAAGCAAGACUAAAGAUGUAUACGCAUUCCAGUAUUAAGGCGUGACUAGGGGAGCUGUUGCUGUGAUGCCGUCUGCAAUCCUCUCUCCCAGGUGCUUCUUUCCAUACUGUUUGCAACAUCUUCAGGGUGAAGAAGUAAAGGGAGUCAUGUACAGCUUGGACGGUGUCAGGGUAGGGUGUCUGUUGGUUCACGGUCCUGGGAUUUCCCAGGUGAAAUUCAAAACUGGCCUGUGUCCGUGGAGAGCAAGGAGAGACUGAAGAAGGAGGCAGACCACUCCAAAUUGAUAAUGUGGCAAAUCAAAAGAUACGUGAAGGACAAUCUUCAUGAUAGCUACAAAACGUAGCACUAAGCCUCAAAUUUUUGCCGCACUCUUCCAUAGAACAGAAAGGAAUUUUUGUCAGAAUUCUGUCUUACCAUCUAUAGCCUGCUGGUUACAACACAGUUCCUGCACCACAAGCAGAGCCUCUGUGUUCCAGGCAGAUGAAGGGCCAAGAAACCUAGAGAUGACCUCCCGUUUAU
Equus asinus (donkey) is the source of this 1924-nucleotide long non-coding RNA. The record is from Ensembl. Lineage: Eukaryota; Metazoa; Chordata; Mammalia; Perissodactyla; Equidae.